CCUACGGGUGGCAGCAGUGGGGAAUAUUGGUCAAUGGGCGCAAGCCUGACCCAGCAACGCCGCGUGAAGGAAGACGGCUUUCGGGUUGUUAACUUCUUUUAAGAGGGAAGAGCAGAAGACGGUACCUCUUGAAUAAGCCAUGGCUAACCACGUACCAGCGGCUGCGGUCGUACGAAGGUGGCAGGCGUUGUCCGGUUUUACUGGGUGUAAAGGGCGUGUAGCCGGGCUGAGAAGUCAGAGGUAAAAUUCCGGGGCUAAACCCCGGACCUGCGUUAGAAACUGUUGGUCUUGAGUAUCGGAGGGGCGGGGGGAAUUCCAGGUGUAGGGGUGAAGUGCGGAGAUAUUAGGGGGAACACAAGUGGCGAAGGGGGCCUGGUGGACGACAACUGACGGUGAGGCGCGAAAGCGUGGGGAGCAAAGAGGAUAAGAUACCCUUAGUC
This 440-nucleotide ribosomal RNA is filed under the name uncultured bacterium. RNAcentral describes it as "partial 16S ribosomal RNA". It matches the Rfam family "Bacterial small subunit ribosomal RNA", at positions 338 to 795 of the family's 1533-position model. The record is from RNAcentral.